AAGUCGUAACAAGGUUUCCGUAGGUGAACCUGCGGAAGGAUCAUCACGAGAGGGACGCCGCGAGGCGCACCACUACACUGUGUUGCUGAGCGAUGAGUGUGGCCAAGGCGCAAGCCUGCCACACACGUCUAUUGACACCACGAACACAUUGAACCAGCUGAACAGCAACUAACUAAUCAACACAACUGUUAGCAACGGAUCACUUGGUUCUC
RNAcentral lists this unclassified non-coding RNA (212 nucleotides) under fungal sp. RNAcentral's name for it is "partial internal transcribed spacer region". The stretch from base 1 to 46 matches the Rfam family "Eukaryotic small subunit ribosomal RNA", at positions 1786 to 1831 of the family's 1831-position model. The record is from RNAcentral. Lineage: Eukaryota; Fungi.